Molecule: transfer-messenger RNA, 350 nt
Filed under: bovine gut metagenome
Rfam family: transfer-messenger RNA
About the family: Bacterial tmRNA, also known as 10Sa RNA or SsrA, is named for its dual tRNA and mRNA-like properties. Its role is to liberate the mRNA from a stalled ribosome. To accomplish this part of the tmRNA is used as a reading frame that ends in a translation stop signal.
Source: RNAcentral
GGGGAUGAAAUAGUCUCGACAGUCAGGAUUUGACUAGAAUACGCAUGUAGUAGUAGGUGCUACUUUAAAAACCAAAAGUCGUUAAAUAUAAACGCAAACAACAACAAUACAAUGGCUGUUGCCGCUUAAGGCAUGCCCGUCGACCUGUCCAAUCCGAAUGGACAGCCAUCGGCGUCGUAAAUUCGGAGAACGGGUACAUUUGUGUUCCAGAAAUGUGCCGGCAACAAUGGGACUAGCCAAGAAAAAGUCGUUAGCAGACUUUGAUUGGUGAAAUUGAUUGCUAACUAAACAUGUAGUGUAUUCAGCAAAUGCUCGAUUGGACAUGGGUGCAACUCCCAUCAUCUCCACCA